RNAcentral lists this ribosomal RNA (310 nucleotides) under uncultured eukaryote. RNAcentral describes it as "partial 18S ribosomal RNA". It matches the Rfam family "Eukaryotic small subunit ribosomal RNA", at positions 1470 to 1796 of the family's 1831-position model. The record is from RNAcentral.
CCCUUAGAUGUUCUGGGCUGCACGCGUGCUACACUGAUAUUGCCAAUAUGUCAUUCUUAUCCGAAAUGGAUUGGGUAAUCAAGUAAUGAAAUUUCAUGCUUGGAAUCGGUAAUUGCAAUUUUAUCGUGAACGAGGAAUUCCUAGUAAGCACUAGUCAUCAGCUAAUGUUGAUUAUGUCCCUGCCCUUUGUACACACCGCCCGUCGCUCCUACCGAUGAAUCGUCCGGUGAAGUUCACAGAGUGGCGGUUCGUGGAGUUGCUCGCGAAGUGAAAUGGACCUCACGAUUUAGAGGAAGGAGAAGUCGUAACA